RNAcentral lists this long non-coding RNA (341 nucleotides) under Lathyrus oleraceus (garden pea). RNAcentral's name for it is "Pisum sativum (pea) long non-coding RNA (PSAT_LNC004402)". Lineage: Eukaryota; Viridiplantae; Streptophyta; Magnoliopsida; Fabales; Fabaceae. The record is from RNAcentral.
GCUUUUGUAUAUGGUUAUCGGUUAGGGAUCAGCUGAAAUGUAUGUGGGGAGAAUGGGUCAGCUAUGCAAAAAGAUAUUUUGUGAAGACAUGCAUGAAGUAUGCAAUAUGCUAUGUAGGCCAUGUAUGUUGCUCUCUUUUUUAUGUCAUUCUCCAUCUUUUCCCAUCCUUUCCUUUUUCCUUUUUUCUUUUUUUUUUCUUCAUUUUUUCUUUUCUUUCUUUCCCCCACUAACAAGUUUUGGCAUGUAACUGGUGAUCGAGGUAUUCCUGCAGGAUUCCACGAACGUAAGAGAAUCAUGUAUUUGUAAAAGGCAAAUACCAGAGGAUAUGAAGCUGAAAUGAG